CUGGCUGCUUCUUCUCGGCACACAGCGCCGCAAGAAUGGCCAAGGCAGCAGCUCCAAGGAAUCCAGAGAGAGCCACUGUUGCUUUAUACUGGGAAACAAGACAACGUAUAGAAAAGCUAGCGAGAAGUGAUCUUCCAGCUCCGAGUGAUCGGCGAGUUUCAAGCAUGUGUCCUUGACUAUGAACCUUUGCAACGAACAUUUUUGGAAAUCGCAAGCAAGCUGUGGACGUUUUCCGUGGCGAUGUUGGCCGCGCACCGACAGUUGGAAGCAUUGCUACAAAUGCUGCACGGCCUUUCACCGUCGGAAAGCUGGCAGCUGUGGCGUCUCGAGGAAAGAAAACGCUGCGACCUCGACCUGUGGGAGAACCAAAACGAGAAUUAGACAUGAUGGCUACGUAAGGAAAGACUAAGCGAGCGAGGCAGCACCAGCUUUACGAUUUUUUAUCUGGACGAGAUCUCUCGCUAGUUCGCUCCAGCUGCUGAAAGAAAGAGAAGAGGAUUUGGAGGGACGGACGGAUGGAUACUUAC
Selaginella moellendorffii is the source of this 527-nucleotide long non-coding RNA. RefSeq lists it as uncharacterized. NCBI's taxonomy places the organism in Eukaryota, Viridiplantae, Streptophyta, Lycopodiopsida, Selaginellales, Selaginellaceae. The record is from RefSeq and is a predicted model, not a curated record. The transcript has 4 exons.